Molecule: ribosomal RNA, 253 nt
Filed under: uncultured bacterium
Lineage: Bacteria
Description: partial 16S ribosomal RNA
Rfam family: Bacterial small subunit ribosomal RNA
Source: RNAcentral
UACGUAGGGUGCAAGCGUUGUCCGGAAUUAUUGGGCGUAAAGAGCUCGUAGGCGGUUUGUCGCGUCGGCUGUGAAAACCUGGGGCUCAACCCCGGGCCUGCAGCCGAUACGGGCAAACUAGAAUUCGGUAGGGGAGACUGGAAUUCCUGGUGUAGCGGUGAAAUGCGCAGAUAUCAGGAGGAACACCGGUGGCGAAGGCGGGUCUCUGGGCCGAUAUUGACGCUGAGGAGCGAAAGCUAGGGGAGCAAACAGG